RNAcentral lists this ribosomal RNA (638 nucleotides) under uncultured bacterium. Its description in RNAcentral is "bacterial SSU rRNA". It matches the Rfam family "Bacterial small subunit ribosomal RNA", at positions 90 to 729 of the family's 1533-position model. The record is from RNAcentral.
GGCGACCGGCGCACGGGUGAGUAACACGUAUCCAACUGCGUCUACUCUUGGACAGCAUCUGAAAGGAAGAUUAAUACAAGAUGGCAUCAUGAGUCCGCAUGUUCACAUGAUUAAAGGUAUUCCGGUAGACGAUGGGGAUGCGUUCCAUUAGAUAGUAGGCGGGGUAACGGCCCACCUAGUCUUCGAUGGAUAGGGGUUCUGAGAGGAAGGUCCCCCACAUUGGAACUGAGACACGGUCCAAACUCCUACGGGAGGCAGCAGUGAGGAAUAUUGGUCAAUGGGCGAGAGCCUGAACCAGCCAAGUAGCGUGAAGGAUGACUGCCCUAUGGGUUGUAAACUUCUUUUAUAAAGGAAUAAAGUCGGGUAUGGAUACCCGUUUGCAUGUACUUUAUGAAUAAGGAUCGGCUAACUCCGUGCCAGCAGCCGCGGUAAUACGGAGGAUCCGAGCGUUAUCCGGAUUUAUUGGGUUUAAAGGGAGCGUAGAUGGAUGUUUAAGUCAGUUGUGAAAGUUUGCGGCUCAACCGUAAAAUUGCAGUUGAUACUGGAUAUCUUGAGUGCAGUUGAGGCAGGCGGAAUUCGUGGUGUAGCGGUGAAAUGCUUAGAUAUCACGAAGAACUCCGAUUGCGAAGGCAGCCUGC